This 499-nucleotide ribosomal RNA is filed under the name uncultured bacterium. Its description in RNAcentral is "partial 16S ribosomal RNA". It matches the Rfam family "Bacterial small subunit ribosomal RNA", at positions 899 to 1397 of the family's 1533-position model. The record is from RNAcentral.
ACUCAAAUGAAUUGACGGGGGCCCGCACAAGCGGUGGAUUAUGUGGUUUAAUUCGAAGCAACGCGCAAAACCUUACCUGGGUUUGAAAUCCUACGGAUCCCGCAGAGAUGUGGGAGUGCCCUUCGGGGAAUGUAGAGACAGGCGCUGCAUGGCUGUCGUCAGCUCGUGUUGUGAAAUGUUGGGUUAAGUCUCGCAACGAGCGCAACCCCUGUUCUUAGUUGCCAGCAUUAAGUUGGGCACUCUAGGAAGACUGCCAGGGUUAACCUGGAGGAAGGUGGGGAUGACGUCAAGUCCUCAUGGCCCUUAUGUCCAGGGCUACACACGUAAUACAAUGGCCAGUAUAGAGGGAUGCGAGCCCGCGAGGGGGAGCUAAUCUCAAAAAGCUGGUCUCAGUCCGGAUUGGAGUCUGCAACUCGACUCCAUGAAGUUGGAAUCGCUAGUAAUCGCCGAUCAGCACGCGGCGGUGAAUACGUUCCCGGGCCUUGUACACACCGCCCGU